GAUGAACGCUGGCGGCGUGCUUAACACAUUCAAGUCGUACGAACUGAUUCUGAAGCUUGCUUCGGAAGAAAGUUAGUGGCGGACGGGUGAGUAACGCGUGAGCAACCUGCCUUUGUGAGGGGGAUAACACAGGGAAACUUGUGCUAAUACCGCAUGAUGCAUAUGAAAGACAUCUUUAGUAUGUUAAAGGAGCAAUCCGCACAAAGAUGGGCUCGCGUCUGAUUAGAUAGUUGGUGGGGUAACGGCCUACCAAGUCGACGAUCAGUAGCCGGACUGAGAGGUUGAACGGCCACAUUGGAACUGAGAAACGGUCCAGACUCCUACGGGAGGCAGCAGUGGGGAAUAUUGGGCAAUGGGCGAAAGCCUGACCCAGCGACGCCGCGUGAGGGAAGAAGGUCUUCGGAUUGUAAACCUUUGUAGACAGGGAAGAAGAAAGUAGACGGUACCUGUAAAGUAAGCCACGGCUAACUACGUG
Molecule: ribosomal RNA, 475 nt
Filed under: uncultured bacterium
Lineage: Bacteria
Description: bacterial SSU rRNA
Rfam family: Bacterial small subunit ribosomal RNA
Source: RNAcentral